This 65-nucleotide transfer RNA is filed under the name Dolichogenidea sp. n. SNS-2016. RNAcentral's name for it is "tRNA-Ser". The record is from RNAcentral. Lineage: Eukaryota; Metazoa; Arthropoda; Insecta; Hymenoptera; Braconidae.
AAAUAAGUGGUUCAAUAAAAAAUUUCUAAUUUAUUUAUUUUAUGGUUAAAUUCCAUUUUUAUUUU